Molecule: ribosomal RNA, 536 nt
Filed under: Lasiodiplodia theobromae
Lineage: Eukaryota; Fungi; Ascomycota; Dothideomycetes; Botryosphaeriales; Botryosphaeriaceae
Description: eukaryotic LSU rRNA
Rfam family: 5.8S ribosomal RNA (bases 159-312)
Source: RNAcentral
GGUACUGCGGAAGGAUCAUUACCGAGUUUUCGGGCUUCGGCUCGACUCUCCCACCCUUUGUGAACGUACCUCUGUUGCUUUGGCGGCUUCGGCCGCCAAAGGACCUUCAAACUCCAGUCAGUAAACGCAGACGUCUGAUAAACAAGUUAAUAAACUAAAACUUUCAACAACGGAUCUCUUGGUUCUGGCAUCGAUGAAGAACGCAGCGAAAUGCGAUAAGUAAUGUGAAUUGCAGAAUUCAGUGAAUCAUCGAAUCUUUGAACGCACAUUGCGCCCCUUGGUAUUCCGGGGGGCAUGCCUGUUCGAGCGUCAUUACAACCCUCAAGCUCUGCUUGGAAUUGGGCACCGUCCUCACUGCGGACGCGCCUCAAAGACCUCGGCGGUGGCUGUUCAGCCCUCAAGCGUAGUAGAAUACACCUCGCUUUGGAGCGGUUGGCGUCGCCCGCCGGACGAACCUUCUGAACUUUUCUCAAGGUUGACCUCGGAUCAGGUAGGGAUACCCGCUGAACUUAAGCAUAUCAAUAAGGCGGAGGAAA